GGAACAUUUUGCAGCAUGCUCACUUUCACUCUUCCCCACCACCCACCCCUAAAGUCCAAUCAGGGACAUGCUGGAGUUUAAAAAAAAAAAAAAGACAAACUGCAUUGGUUUGGUCGAACUUCAGGUGCUGAUUAUCUUUGUCAGUCCUGCUAUUCUUUUUUUCAGAGUACUUAAACUGCUGCUUUUUGCAUUCUGUUCUGUUUUUAUAACUAUGUUGAAUGGGGUGUCACUGUGUUUGACCAUACUACCACAGAGGAUGAAAAGAUUACUUAGAGAUGAGACUUGGUCCAAACAUCAAGAGGCCCAGAGGGACUGUCCCAAUGAGAGUGCCCAUCAUGAGGGAGUCUCAAGUCUGCACCUUGAGUUGCAGGUGUUGUAAUCCAUUUCUAGCACAGAUUAAACAGACAGAUGGACAGACAUGCACAAGACAAUUGCAUUUAAAUUAGAGUGCACUCUUAGAUGUAUUGGCUAUGGCAUCUUUAAGCCUUUUUCCUGAUAACUCUGUCCCAGUUAAGAAUAAUUUACUGACUUGACAUCUGUUGUCUUUAAAAAAACAAAACAAAACAAAACAGGUCCAAUUAGCAUAUAGAGUUUAGAGUGGGGUCCCCCCCAUCUCCUAGGGCAAUGAAGGUGAGCCUUUUAGAGCUUUCAAUGAUGCAAACAGUGGGUUGUGGCACAGGUUUGCCACCACUACUGUAGGGGGUCAGAGGUGGAAGGGGGCUUUCAAACGGAGCCAAGAGAGGAAGAAGAAGCUUUUUAGGGGGACCUCCUUUGUUUGAAUAGAUCAAAUAGAUGCCAGGUAGCAAGAUGUGCAAAUUCAGGACCCAGUGAUUGUCUUAGUUUUCGGCCUACAUGUUGCCAAUCUUCCACCUCCAGGCUACCCUCCAGGAGGAACCAGGGGCAUUAUUGCUGGAUAACAAUUAAGAGUUCAGUAAGCUGAGAUUCAGAAACUUUACACUCAGAUGUUUGUGAGAGUCAUUGGUUAAAUUGUUUUUCUCCUUUGAACAAAGUUUGACCCAUAUGGUAGGCAAAGCAGAAGAAAUGAAAGCAAAACAGCAAAAAGAAAAACAAGUGCACUGCCCCUACUCACUUAGCAGUUGAACAGUUAAAAGACCUCUGGGCUAAUAAACUGAAACUUCAACCUUACUGUAGAUAUGCCAGGGUACUCCGUGGCCACCUGUGUCCCCUGAGAAGUUGGACGUCCUUGUUCCUUUUCCAGGCUUUGGAAGGUCAGUCCUCCACAGUGAUCUGCAGCAGAUUGCCUUGCUGUUUGGCACCUCACAUGGGGCACCAUUGUCACAGCAACAGUGGGGUGCUGUAGUUUGGAUCUUAAAUGCCCCCCAAAGGACUGUUUGUCAGGAUGGUACUAACGGAAGAUGGUGGAAACCCUUAGAGACAUGAGGUGAAUGAGCCUCCUCCGCCACAUGCUUCUGCCAUGAUGUGCUGGCCACAGGGCCAAAACAAUGAGGUAAAUCAGUCAUAGGUGGAACUUGAGAAAGUAGGAGCCCAAAUAAACUUUUUAUAUUAAUUUGAUUUAUUUCAAGUUUAGUUACAGUUAUGGAAAGCUGACCAGUUUGGGAGAGAUGGUAGAAGUGGCUUACUUCAUUUUCCCUACAAUUGGAGCUCCACUGUUCAGAGAUCAACAUUGCUAAUAUAGUGAGUGGUACCUUGGUUCAUGAACUAUUCAUUCCAUGAUUCUGGAAAAGAUGGCUACGUUGGUGUUCAUUUGGGAAAGAUGGCCAUGGUUGUGUUUGUCACUUAUUGUAGAGUUACCUAAUAAAAACAAAAUUUUGCCAAAUGCUUUUGUUUCUGAACCAAAUUGUUCCCAAACAAAAGCAUUCGCAAACUGAGGUACCACUGUAUUUUGAU
This is a long non-coding RNA of Heterocephalus glaber (naked mole-rat), 1869 nucleotides long. The record is from Ensembl. Lineage: Eukaryota; Metazoa; Chordata; Mammalia; Rodentia; Bathyergidae.